AGCUCCAAUAGCGUAUAUUAAAGCUGUUGCGGUUAAAAAGCUCGUAGUUGGAUUUCUGCCGAGGACAACUGGUCCGCCCAUUGGGUGAGCACAUAGUUUGGUCUCGACAUCUUGCUGGAAACUGCUACUGUACUUGGCUGUAUGGUACAGAGUCCAGCACUUUCACUUUGAGGAAAUUGGAGUGUUUCAAGCAGGCACAUGCCUUUGGACACAGUAGCAUGGAAUAAUUAGAUUGGGCUUUUGCUCCAACUUGUCGGUUUCUGGAGCUGAGGUGAGAAUUAAUGGGGAUUGUUGGGGGCAUCCGAAUUUAGCCGUCAGAGGUGAAAUUCUUGGAUCUGCUAAAGACGGACAACUGCGAAAGCGUUUGCCCAGGAUGUUUUCA
Molecule: ribosomal RNA, 382 nt
Filed under: uncultured eukaryote
Lineage: Eukaryota
Description: SSU rRNA
Rfam family: Eukaryotic small subunit ribosomal RNA
Source: RNAcentral